UUCUUGGAGAGUUUGAUCCUGGCUCAGGACGAACGCUGGCGGCGUGCCUAAUACAUGCAAGUCGAGCGAAUCUUUGGGAGC
RNAcentral lists this ribosomal RNA (81 nucleotides) under Neobacillus niacini. RNAcentral describes it as "partial 16S ribosomal RNA". It matches the Rfam family "Bacterial small subunit ribosomal RNA", at positions 1 to 81 of the family's 1533-position model. Lineage: Bacteria; Bacillati; Bacillota; Bacilli; Caryophanales; Bacillaceae. RNAcentral also lists the same sequence under 2 other names. The record is from RNAcentral.